This 565-nucleotide ribosomal RNA is filed under the name uncultured bacterium. Its description in RNAcentral is "bacterial SSU rRNA". It matches the Rfam family "Bacterial small subunit ribosomal RNA", at positions 138 to 721 of the family's 1533-position model. The record is from RNAcentral.
GGGGGAUAACAGUUAGAAAUGACUGCUAAUACCGCAUAAAACAGCAGCACCGCAUGGUGCAACCGUCAAAGAUUUAUCGGUGUAAGAUGGACCCGCGUCUGAUUAGCCAGUUGGUGGGGUAACGGCCUACCAAAGCGACGAUCAGUAGCCGACCUGAGAGGGUGAUCGGCCACAUUGGGACUGAGACACGGCCCAAACUCCUACGGGAGGCAGCAGUGGGGAAUAUUGGACAAUGGGCGAAAGCCUGAUCCAGCGACGCCGCGUGAGCGAUGAAGUAUUUCGGUAUGUAAAGCUCUAUCAGCAGGGAAGAAAAUGACGGUACCUGACUAAGAAGCCCCGGCUAACUACGUGCCAGCAGCCGCGGUAAUACGUAGGGGGCAAGCGUUAUCCGGAUUUACUGGGUGUAAAGGGAGCGUAGACGGAAGUGCAAGUCAGAAGUGAAAGCCCGGGGCUUAACCCCGGGACUGCUUUUGAAACUGUGCAUCUAGAGUGCAGGAGAGGUAAGCGGAAUUCCUAGUGUAGCGGUGAAAUGCGUAGAUAUUAGGAGGAACACCGGUGGCGAAGG